RNAcentral lists this ribosomal RNA (441 nucleotides) under uncultured bacterium. RNAcentral's name for it is "partial 16S ribosomal RNA". It matches the Rfam family "Bacterial small subunit ribosomal RNA", at positions 338 to 795 of the family's 1533-position model. The record is from RNAcentral.
CCUACGGGUGGCAGCAGUGGGGAAUAUUGGACAAUGGGGGCAACUCUGAUGCAGCAACGCCGCGUGAAGGAAGACGGUUUUCGGAGUGUAAACUUCUGUUCUUAGUGAAGUAUAAUGACGGUAGCUAAGGAGCAAGCCACGGCUAACUACGUGCCAGCAGCCGCGGUAAUACGUAGGUGGCAAGCGUUUUCCGGAAUUUCUGGGUGUAAAGGGAGCGCAGGCGGGAAGCGAAGUCAGCUGUGAAAACUACGGGCUUAACUUGUAGACUGCAGUUGAAACUGGUUUUCUUGAGUGAAGUAGAGGUAGGCGGAAUUCAGGGUGUAGCGGUGAAAUGCGUAGAUAUUAGGAGGAACACCGGUGGUGAAGGCGGCCAACUGGGCUUUAACUGACGCUGAGGCUCGAAAGUGUGGGGAGCAAACAGGAUUAGAUACCCCGGUAGUC